CCUACGGGAGGCAGCAGUGGGGAAUAUUGGGCAAUGGAGGCAACUCUGACCCCUCCCCUCCGCUUUCCUUCUUCCUUUCUUCUUCUUUUCCCUUUCUUUUAUUUUUGAUGAACACAAUGACGGUACCCCAAUAGCAAGCCACGGCUAACUACGUGCCAGCAGCCGCGGUAAUACGUAGGUGGCAAGCGUUAUCCGGAAUGACUGGGCGUAAAGGGUGCGUAGGUGGUUUAGUAAGUUGGCGGUGUAAUUCCGGGGCUCAACCUCGGCGCUACCGCCAAAACUAUUAGACUAGAGUGCAGGAGGGGUAAGUGGAAUUCCUAGUGUAGCGGUGGAAGGCGUAGAUAUUAGGAGGAACAUCAGGGGCGAAGGCGACUUACUGGACUGUAACUGACACUGAGGCACGAAAGCGUGGGGAGCAAACAGGAUUAGAUACCCUUGUAGUC
RNAcentral lists this ribosomal RNA (443 nucleotides) under uncultured bacterium. RNAcentral describes it as "partial 16S ribosomal RNA". It matches the Rfam family "Bacterial small subunit ribosomal RNA", at positions 338 to 795 of the family's 1533-position model. The record is from RNAcentral.